This 510-nucleotide ribosomal RNA is filed under the name uncultured bacterium. RNAcentral's name for it is "partial 16S ribosomal RNA". It matches the Rfam family "Bacterial small subunit ribosomal RNA", at positions 28 to 507 of the family's 1533-position model. The record is from RNAcentral.
GACGAACGCUGGCGGCGUGCUUAACACACGCAAGUCGAACGAAGAGCGAUGGAAGCUUGCUUCUAUCAAUCUUAGUGGCGAACGGGUGAGUAACGCGUAAUCAACCUGCCCUUCAGAGGGGGACAACAGUUGGAAACGACUGCUAAUACCGCAUACGAUCUAAUCUCGGCAUCGAGGAUAGAUGAAAGGUGGCCUCUACAUGUAAGCUAUCACUGAAGGAGGGGAUUGCGUCUGAUUAGCUAGUUGGAGGGGUAACGGCCCACCAAGGCGAUGAUCAGUAGCCGGUCUGAGAGGAUGAACGGCCACAUUGGGACUGAGACACGGCCCAGACUCCUACGGGAGGCAGCAGUGGGGAAUCUUCCGCAAUGGACGAAAGUCUGACGGAGCAACGCCGCGUGAGUGAUGACGGCCUUCGGGUUGUAAAGCUCGGUUAAUCGGGACGAAAGGCCUUCUUGCGAAUAGUGAGAAGGAUUGACGGUACCGGAAUAGAAAGCCACGGCUAACUACGUG